RNAcentral lists this ribosomal RNA (229 nucleotides) under uncultured bacterium. Its description in RNAcentral is "partial 16S ribosomal RNA". It matches the Rfam family "Bacterial small subunit ribosomal RNA", at positions 568 to 796 of the family's 1533-position model. The record is from RNAcentral.
UGCGUAGGCGGAUUAAUAAGUCAGUGGUGAAAACCUGCAGCCUAACUGCAGACCUGCCAUUGAUACUGUUAGUCUUGAGUACGGUCAAGGUAGGCGGAAUGUGUAAUGUAGCGGUGAAAUGCUUAGAUAUUACACAGAACACCGAUUGCGAAGGCAGCUUACUGGGCCAUUACUGACGCUGAGGCACGAAAGCGUGGGGAGCGAACAGGAUUAGAUACCCUGGUAGUCC